Molecule: microRNA precursor, 66 nt
Organism: Pteropus vampyrus (large flying fox)
Lineage: Eukaryota; Metazoa; Chordata; Mammalia; Chiroptera; Pteropodidae
Source: Ensembl
UACUUACCUUCAGGUCCCUGUUCGGGCGCCACUUGCCGCGGUCCAGCCACGACAGGAUCCAGGGGG